Molecule: long non-coding RNA, 1474 nt
Filed under: Anser cygnoides (Swan goose)
Lineage: Eukaryota; Metazoa; Chordata; Aves; Anseriformes; Anatidae
Description: lncRNA (ENSACDG00005011830.1)
Source: RNAcentral
UGGGCUACAGUUUAAAGUCAUCCUAGAAAUACACUGCCUGGAUGGAGCAGGAGGAGCAGCUCUUUCCUCAUGCUUAAUUUCAGUAUGUGGCCACCUGGGCAGUGCUCUAGGACAUAUCCAGUAGUGUAGCUAUACAGUGGAAGGCUGGGGCACAGCACUGCUCUCAGCAGAAUAUCAGUGUUGAUAUUCUUCACUGAUAUUCAGCGUUGAUACGUCUUGGGGAGAAGGUGAAGUGUGAGACUGAUUUGUGAAUUUUGUGAGAUUUUAGACUCCUCUCUAUGCACCUAGGACUAGGGGAAAUGUUCUUUGUGCAUAAAUCUAAAUAAAUCAAAGUUGCAGUGUUCUUUCACGGGGAAGGUUGGGAGGUUGCCCCAGCAGUGGGUGCUGCCUUGUAGGAGAGCCACAGUUUGUCGCUGAGCUGCAAGCAUGUUGGUUUUCAUCUGUCAAGACCCUGGAGCAGAGGAGAGGGGUCAGGGUGACUUUCUAGCUAGGGACAGCAUUGGUGUGGCCAGCCCAUGUCCCAGGUGGGAUGCAGAGGGGCAUGUUGAUGAGUCUGACCUGAAAUAUCUCCAGGGAAGUACUGGAUUUCUGCAUUCUCCUUUUCCUGAGCCUCCCCUUGGUUUAGCUCAGUUUACGUCAGUUUGAGUUAAGGGUAUAUCCUUGAGGAGAGGCUGGAGCAGCCAGAGUACCCCUCACCGGGCACAGGGCUGGCCAGUGGGCUCCUGUCCCAGAAGAGUGAGAGUCUGCACUGCCUCACGUGGAGAGCAGCUUCCUACCUGCACUAGGGCUGGGCGUGGAUCAAGCUGGGUGAGAACAAGGAGGCCAUAACGCAGUUCAGCAGGUGAUGAAGUCCCCCAAGAACCCAGCAGGCAGCAAUGGUUGGUGUGGGCAGAGUGUAGAUUGGUGUGGGGGCUGAUAUGACAGCUUGCAGCUGACUUCCCAGCCCAGGAAUGGCACUGAAGUUCAUCUGUCCUCCCACCUGCAGGUGCCUCAGCGAGCUUUUGCGGUUCCCACUUUAUGGGCCUGGUGCUGAACUGACAGUGAUAGGGAAUCUCCUGCCAGAAGUGGAGGUUCUCCAGAAGAUCAGGUUGCUUUUUCUCACUGGGCGAGGUACGCAGUUCCUGGAGCUGGGGAAGCACAAGGAGGCCUUGCUGGAUUUCCUGUACGGCUUGCAGGUCUUGCCAGGCCCUUCCCUUUGUACCUCCUGUGAAGCAGGCAGCCUUCCUGCAGAGGGAAUCUCUUGCUAGAAGCAUACAGGAUUACCUCAGGAGCACGAGCCAGGAUCCCUUCAGCUAACCCAGCCAGUGUCCUCAUCACCACCUGCUGGAGUCUCUGUGCACCAGGAUGACAUCAGGCCUUUAAGGACUCCUCCAGGACUCAAAACUGCUCUUAGAUAAAGCUGGAUUUCCCAAAAGACGGAAACAGAACAGAUUCCCUUUUCUAAUAAACUGAAUAGAUCUGAGGCUUUUAUGCA